UACCUGGGCCCCGAGUGGUGACCGCUUUUAUUGGGUUUAAAGCGUUCGUAGCCGGUUUGUUAAGUCCUUAAUGAAAUUCGGCAGCUAACUGUCGAGAUUGUUGGGGAUACUGGCAGACUAGAGACCGGGAGAGGUCGAGGGUAUUCUUGGGGUAAGGGUAAAAUCUUAUAAUCCCAAGAGGACCACCUGUGGCGAAGGCGCUCGACUAGAACGGAUCUGACGGUGAGGGACGAAAGCCAGGGGAGCAAACGGG
Molecule: ribosomal RNA, 253 nt
Filed under: uncultured bacterium
Lineage: Bacteria
Also listed under: 1 other name
Description: partial 16S ribosomal RNA
Rfam family: Archaeal small subunit ribosomal RNA
Source: RNAcentral